This 71-nucleotide transfer RNA is filed under the name Loxodonta africana (African savanna elephant). It matches the Rfam family "tRNA". From Rfam's summary of the family: Transfer RNA (tRNA) molecules are approximately 80 nucleotides in length. Their secondary structure includes four short double-helical elements and three loops (D, anti-codon, and T loops). The record is from Rfam by way of RNAcentral. Lineage: Eukaryota; Metazoa; Chordata; Mammalia; Proboscidea; Elephantidae.
GCUGGGUGGUGCAAAUGGUCAGCACUUGACUACUAACCAAAAUGUUGGUGGUUCAAAUCCACCCAGCAGCA